This 276-nucleotide ribosomal RNA is filed under the name uncultured prokaryote. RNAcentral's name for it is "partial 16S ribosomal RNA". It matches the Rfam family "Bacterial small subunit ribosomal RNA", at positions 524 to 801 of the family's 1533-position model. The record is from RNAcentral.
UACGUAGGGGCUAGCGUUAUCCAGAAUUACUGGGCGUAAAGGGUGCGUAGGUGGUUUCUUAAGUCAGAGGUGAAAGGCUACGGCUCAACCGUAGUAAGCUUUUGGAACUGUAAGACUUGAGUGCAGGAGAGGAGAGUGGAAUUCCUAGUGUAGCGGUGAAAUGCGUAGAUAUUAGGAGGAACACCAGUGGCGAAGGCGGCUUCCUGGUCUGUAACUGACACUGAGGCGCGAAAGCGUGGGGAGCAAACAGGAUUAGAUACCCCGGUAGUCCAUGAG